RNAcentral lists this long non-coding RNA (2172 nucleotides) under Coffea arabica (coffee). Its description in RNAcentral is "long non-coding RNA (CARA_LNC004809)". The record is from RNAcentral. Lineage: Eukaryota; Viridiplantae; Streptophyta; Magnoliopsida; Gentianales; Rubiaceae.
CCAGCUUUCUGCAUCACUUGAAAGCUGAGUCAUGCCAUCUUUUGUUGAACUUCAAUGGCAUAUUUGUUUGUCCUUUAAGCACCUUCUCAACACGAAUAUGAGCGUUCUUAUGUGUGCACUUUCACCAGUUAGAUGUGUUUUUAGCUGUCCGUGAUGAUAUUGGCAGCAAUGCUAUCUAUGCCUGCAUGGAAGCCUGUUGAAAUUGGGAGUAUUACAUCGCCACCACGAGCCUCUGAAUCUGGUUGUUCGUAUUGUGUUGCAUUUUCCCGAGUCUUGGGUAGAAAGGCCAUUUUAUUGUUUAUCUGAAAACCAUGCUCAUUUGGGUCCUCCCAUUGCAGAUUAUUUUUACCGACAUGUAAGAUCCUUGGAAGCACCUAACUGUGCUGACACUUGCCCCUGUAUGUUUCUCAGGUAUGCCUUUCUUUUGGGUCAUAAACUUGGAAUGUUAAUCAAUAAAAUUUGAAUUCAGCAUCAGGUUUUCUAAAUUCAUUGCAUUUUGAACAAAACCAAUCACUAGAAAGCAGACUAACCUUUUUAUUUCAUUGCCUCCUUGAAGGAAAGUUACAACAGAGUAAAGGAAAAAGGAGAACGUCAAUUACAUAUAGACUAUAACUAUCAAACCCAUAUGGAUAGGAGCUGGAACAACUUAGCUGCGUCCCAGUCUACCCUUCAUGACAUGCCUUCUUAAACCUGGAAUAUGGAUAUUUGAGAUGUAAUCUUUCCAGUCUAUGUUCUCCACAUCAAAUCCAAACUUCCUUCUUUCUUCUUUAGACAUAUACCCCAUCAACAAGUGCGUGUUACUGUUGUCAAACCUGGCAUUUUUUUUUUUGUUUUGCUGUUAAUCUCAAAGCUAAGUCACACAUAUAGUUGCAUAACUGUAAGUUGGAAAAAAUUACCUUCCGCCGUAGAAAGUGUAUGGCUCAUACAGAUUGGCCAAGUAUUCUGCUUGCUCCACUGAUUUUCUGCAGAUGCUUUCGAGCUUUCCGGACAUCUUUCCACCUGGGUGAGGGCUAGCUGCUAGACCACUUCUGCUGAUUGCAUCUCUCCUAAGGUGAGUGGAAAAAUCUUCCAUAGACCUGAAUAGCUCCAUUUUCGGGACACGAAUUGGUUUCCCUUUCGAAUCAAAGCAUGGGGAGGAAUUGAAAUGCUCGUAAAGCAAUGUUGCAAGAUCCUUGAAAACUAGAGGGUUGACCACAGAUGAAGCAAUCUGAUAGAUAUUACUUCCUGAUUUUCCAGCUUCCCCGUGCUUUGCCAUGGCUGCUAAAAUGGCGUUAACGACCAUAUCUGCUGGAACCUAGAUAAAAGCCCUUUGUCAUGACAAAUGAUGUUGAAACAUAGCUAAUCAAUUAGGCUUACAAGUUCUGGAUUUGCAAACAGUCUACUCACAACAUCAAGGACACCAUUGGGGUCUGCCAGAAACCCCGAAAGCUGCCCUUUUCCAUAGUACAGGAGAACAGGAUCCAUCAUCCUGAAUGGACAGUUCUAGUUUAAUCUUGAGUGUCGCAUAAAUUUUUCCAUCCAUUUGAAAUUUUAGGUUAUUCAGUGACAUAUAGUAUCAAACCUGCUUCCUUCAAUCCAUCCUGGAAAUGGUUCCCUGUAAGUGCUCUCGAUAACACUCGGUCGAAUGAUCACAACUGGAAUGUCACCUCUUAAACUAUCAAUCAUCAUUUCUCCCAUAGCUUUUGUGAACACGUACGUGUCUUGCCAUCCAAAUUUGUUUGCCCUGAAAAUUGUAACGAAGAUUGAUACAUAUUUCAGCUUGUUCUUUAACCUAAUCAGACGCAAUCUGGUGAAGUUUUUUCGUUGAUUACCUCUCUAGACCAAGACUCUUCAUCCUUUGAGCCAAAACGCUAUCAUCAAUAGCUUGUUUUGAUUCUAUAACUAACUUUAUCUCAUCUUCAACAUUCAAGGUGGGGAGGAAUAUGCAGUCUGCUCCAAAGAGGAGACUCUCUCUUGCUAUACUCUCACCAGCAGAAAAUGGCUUCUCCAUAACUGUUCCUUGUCGCCGCCCAUUAACGUAAGCUGCAGGCAAGAAGAGCAAGAGUUUAAAUUGACAUUGCCUAGGAUUAGGAAAGAGUACGUACUUGAUUGCAUGGCCUUUCCCUACUUGCCUGUAGACACUUGCAAGAAGAGCUGAAUUCUGUGGCAUUGUUUGGCAAAGCUCAUCAACCG